UGGGGAAUAUUGCACAAUGGGCGCAAGCCUGAUGCAGCCAUGUCGCGUGUGUGAAGAAGGCCUUCGGGUUGUAAAGCACUUUCAGCGAGGAGGAAGGGUAGUGUGUUAAUAGCACAUUGCAUUGACGUUACUCGCAGAAGAAGCACCGGCUAACUCCGUGCCAGCAGCCGCGGUAAUACGGAGGGUGCAAGCGUUAAUCGGAAUUACUGGGCGUAAAGCGCACGCAGGCGGUUUGUUAAGUCAGAUGUGAAAUCCCCGCGCUUAACGUGGGAACUGCAUUUGAAACUGGCAAGCUAGAGUCUUGUAGAGGGGGGUAGAAUUCCAGGUGUAGCGGUGAAAUGCGUAGAGAUCUGGAGGAAUACCGGUGGCGAAGGCGGCCCCCUGGACAAAGACUGACGCUCAGGUGCGAAAGCGUGGGGAGCAAACA
RNAcentral lists this ribosomal RNA (427 nucleotides) under uncultured bacterium. Its description in RNAcentral is "partial 16S ribosomal RNA". It matches the Rfam family "Bacterial small subunit ribosomal RNA", at positions 355 to 774 of the family's 1533-position model. The record is from RNAcentral.